AGCUCCAAUAGCGUAUAUUUUAGUUGUUGCAGUUAAAAAGCUCGUAGCCGUAUUUCUGGUGGGAGAAUGCAGUCCGACUUUAUGUCGGUACUCGCAUCCUCCGGCCAUCCUUGGGUCUAGCCAGUUUGGCAUUAAGUUGUCGAGCUGGGGAUGCCCAUCGUUUACUGUGAAAAAAUUAGAGUGUUCAAAGCAGACUUAUGUCGUUGAAUAUAUUAGCAUGGAAUAAUAAAAUAGGACAUCAGUGCUAUUGUGUUGGUUUGCGCACCGAUGUAAUGAUAAAUAGGAACAGUUGUGACUAUUCGUAUUCAUUUGUAAGAGGUGAAAUUCUUAGAUUAAAGGAAGACGAACUACUGCGAAAGCAUUUAGCAGGGAUGUUUUCA
This 380-nucleotide ribosomal RNA is filed under the name uncultured marine Chaetocerotaceae. Its description in RNAcentral is "SSU rRNA". It matches the Rfam family "Eukaryotic small subunit ribosomal RNA", at positions 587 to 972 of the family's 1831-position model. The record is from RNAcentral. Lineage: Eukaryota; Bacillariophyta; Thalassiosirophyceae; Chaetocerotales; Chaetocerotaceae.